Molecule: long non-coding RNA, 2329 nt
Filed under: Triticum aestivum (bread wheat)
Lineage: Eukaryota; Viridiplantae; Streptophyta; Magnoliopsida; Poales; Poaceae
Description: long non-coding RNA (TAES_LNC002274)
Source: RNAcentral
AACAGAACAGAUGUGUAUACAUCAGGACAUUCAGUACCAUGAAAAACAAAUAGAAGAUUUAUGUACAUAUCACAACUGAGAUUCUCCCAGUCCACGUCAAACAUUCAAGCUAAUAAAUAUAUUCUUUAUCAAUUUCUCAGUAUCACAAUGGGUUAAUAAUCACUCAAUGUAUGCUACAUGCCUUUCUCUUGCUUCACGUGAACUGAAUUUCUCUGAAACACUCAGUUCAUAACGAUCUCCAACAUUAAAAGUGAGAGGUUUCAGAUCUCAUCCAAACCACUUCAUUAGUAAUUCAAUGCAUCAUUUUUCUCUUUACUUUGACACAUUAACAAUAUGAUGACCCGCAGGAGCUGAAAGUACCGAAACCCUUAUAGCUAGGGAAGGCUAAUUUGGCAGCAGCAUGGCCUGCAAGUUACGUGAGGCAUGGCGGGAUACCCCGUCCGGCUCUGUGACAAAGGCGACCUAUAAGCCAGGAUGAUGGGAGUAGUAGUAGGCAAACAUCCUCUCUCUACUUGCGCCGCUGUCCAAGCCAAGACAUAAUUAAACCUAGUAAGAUCUGAAACAUGAAAUGAAGUGACAAACAAUGCAACUACCUACCAAGGAACUGAAAUUUGGAUGGCACGCGAUCAAAAAUUGUUCGAAUAUCUUAUCAAACAAUACAAUGCAAUUCAAUUCCGAGACCACACAAUCAAAACAUACCUUAGGAGAGCAGGAGAGAGUGAGGCCAUAAGGCAGAGAAAGCAUGUAAUAGAUAAAAGGGGCACACAACAACCCAACAAUAAUGAUGAGAGAAUAAUCCCACACUAAUAUAUAAAUGUGGCAAAUGAUUUUGAAUUAUUCUACGCAUAAGAGGACAACAAAAGAAAAUUAAAAAUAGAAUUGUCUAUAAGAUUAGGAGCAGUUAAAUGAUGCGGCUUGUGAUAGGACCUUUAACCUAGCAUAUUGGGAAAUAUGCAGCAUAGCUAUAAUGUCAAUCAUCAAUUUUUUUUGGUCACAUAACUGCACAUCCUCAACGGAGUCUUGGCCUUCACAACCUAGUGUAGGCUUACACAGCCAUGAUUAUGAGCACUUCCUCGGUAUUCAACUUGCCACAGGAAAACUGAAGGCGUGUUUGAAUCUUCAGUGAUAGACAGGAAGUACAUCAUGGCGCACGGUACCAAAUGACCAGAAAGCAAAAACCAAAUCAGAAAAAUACAAACCUAGAUGCCUAAGUAAACAGAGGAUGCAAUUUCUUAUAAUUCUAAAUUGUAGUAUGGAGAUCGCUGUAUGGCCCAUGCACCAAGAUUCUAAGAAAAGUUGGCAUAACAAUCAAGCAUUGCAAAUACAUGGUAUUUUCUAUCAGGGGUGCAGAUCAAACAGUGGUUCAUAACAACACAUCUAUACAACAGAAGGCACCACAAGCAAGCCAAAUCAGCUAUGAGAAUAGUAGAUAGGAAAGCAACAUGGGAAUAGUAGCUGAGUAUAUUGGCAUACCUUUAAUUCUCAAAGAGGUCAUUGGUUUGUAACAACGGUUCGAGAAGAAAGCUGCAAUAGAAAAAAUAAAGAUAUUCUUUCAAAGAACGCCCAAAGGUUUGAGCAGGAUAUGGUAAUAAAUAUACAUGAUAUGUAAACUUCAAAACUAUAUAGCGAAUGAGCAUACUGCAGAGAGAUAAAUGCAGAUUUGGAAGCAACAUAUUCAUAGAUCGGCAAAGUCUAAUUGUAGAAGCAUAUCAUUGCGAGACGGAUACACCUACUGAACUUCUCUCUGGCCUGCACAUGUAGUCUAAUUGUAGCAGCAGAGGAGCAACAUGUGGCACUUGAAUUUAUUGACUGUAAGUCGCACCACUGUAAAAUACAAAGCAUGGAUCUUUUGCUGUUGUAACCAACUUUGUUUUCAUCAACGAAUUUUGUAAGAGACAGCAAAACAAAACAGCCUAGGAUCUUACUUCAGAGGUACCUAACCCUACAAUUAAACACAUUUUUACCUCCUGGUAUGAUGGCUUAAUGAGAUCAGGAUGAUUUCAUUUAAAUAAUAGGUCAAUGAGUGCUCACAUAACCAAGAUUGGUCACUGGGAAUGUCUCGUGCAUAAUUUGAGCAUAUAUAGUUUACUGAUGCAAUUUUUUUGUCCAAGAAGAAAAAGCUUAACCAUUGCAUAUGUUCUCUGAACUUUAUGCCCAUUUUUCAUAAGAAUAUAACAAAACUAACCACUGCUCAUAUUUUGAUGGCGGGUGGUUUACUCUCAGAUUUUCUGAACAAAAUCACAUCUUCUGCAGCUAGCUUCUCCAGGUCCAGAAGGACAGUUGGAAGCAACAAAUAAACUACAAAGAAGUGGGCGUACCUUCGGAGGAG